Molecule: ribosomal RNA, 253 nt
Filed under: uncultured bacterium
Lineage: Bacteria
Description: partial 16S ribosomal RNA
Rfam family: Bacterial small subunit ribosomal RNA
Source: RNAcentral
UACGAAGGGGGCGAGCGUUGUUCGGAAUCACUGGGCGUAAAGGGUGCGUAGGCGGUUAUGAAAGUUAGAAGUGAAAGCCCAGGGCUUAACCUUGGAAUUGCUUUUAAAACUCCGUGACUAGAAUUCGAGAGAGGAUAGCGGAAUUCCCAGUGUAGCAGUAAAAUGCGUAGAUAUUGGGAGGAACACCAGUGGCGUAAGCGGCUAUCUGGCUCGACAUUGACGCUGAGGCACGAAAGCGUGGGGAUCAAACAGG